GUUGAAUUUCAUGAGGUUUGCAUAGGCCCAGUUCUCAAGUUUACCAAGGUCCCUGUGCAUGGCAGAUAAAUCAAGUGUUUCUAUAUAAACACACAAAAUUCUAAGACAAUAAAUGUAAAAACCAGAAUUUAAGCACCUUUUAAACCCCUCUCUAGCCCUCUGGAUCCCUUCAGCUCUGGUGCUCAAAGCACCAGAGAAGUUCCUACAAGCAAUUUAAACCACUUUCUACUUACCACACCAGGCUCACAAAAACACUCACCCAACAAUCAUCCCCGUUUUUCUUGGGGUUUGGGUUGUAUUCAAGAGGUUAACUUUAUUUCUAACCAUGGAUUCUUUGUUGCUCCCUGUCUGGUUCUACCGUCACACUCAUCCGGAUAAAUGGAUCACGUUAAUGAACAUCAACAGAAGGACUGCAGCCAUAAAUUCACCAGAAUUGCUGGCCUCUGAAGAAACCUUAAUUCUACUUUGACAGCAAAAUCGGAUUCCAAAGAUCUCUCUCCCUGCUGUGCUUUAUUUUGGGCCUUAUCGUUUGCUGGGCAGGUUGUCAUGACAACCUGAUAUUCACCGGAGGGUGGCUGUAAUUGAGAGAGCACAUUGUUAAUUUAGCUCCAGAUUCCUUUUAUUUUGUUGUAUUUUAAGAAAAGGGGGGCUGCCUAGAUUUUAAUAUUUUUAUCUAUGAUCAUACUAUGGUUUAAUUAUUAAUCCAAGUGCCAAUAGCAUCUCUCCAGUGACGGCUGAGCUGCGGAGCUCACCAGGGCAGAAAACGGCUCUGCCCACAUCCCUUUUUCCCAGAUCAUCUCCUCACGCAGCCUCUCCACAUCCCCUCCAGCCCUCAAGCCCCUAAACCAAGAAUCCCCAGACCCAGGAUUUCACAGGGAUGCUUCUGCCUUGUGGGAGCAAGUUGGGAGGCAGAAAAAAGCUACAUCUUUGGAUUAAAGAGGCCUUAGAAAUACAAAGUAUGAUUAUCCAGGGUUGUGGCAGCUCCCUUGCCUGGUCUUGGGUUAAUCCAGAACCUGGUGGGGAAGAGCCCAUCGAGGAGGCCUUCACCACACACCUGCUGAUGGCAGCAGCUCAGGUUCCAGCUUCUCCUGCUCCUGGGAGCCCACAUCCUCUGUGGUCACCUGCCUGCACCCUCUGUUAUCUCUCAUGCAUCUUCUAA
This 1159-nucleotide long non-coding RNA is filed under the name Cyanistes caeruleus (blue tit). RNAcentral describes it as "lncRNA (ENSCCEG00000018318.1)". The record is from RNAcentral. Lineage: Eukaryota; Metazoa; Chordata; Aves; Passeriformes; Paridae.